CGCACUUGUGCUUGUUUUUGUUUAGUUUGUGAACAAAGACAUAGACAAAGUGCAAAAAAUAAAUCCUCUUUUGCAACCCAGAACUCAUGGCUCAGUAUGAGUUUUGAUACAGAUAAGAAGGAACAAG
This 127-nucleotide small nucleolar RNA is filed under the name Ailuropoda melanoleuca (giant panda). RNAcentral describes it as "Small nucleolar RNA SNORA40 (ENSAMEG00000020329.2)". It matches the Rfam family "Small nucleolar RNA SNORA40". From Rfam's summary of the family: The snoRNA ACA 40 belongs to the H/ACA family of snoRNAs and guides the pseudouridylation of 28S rRNA subunit at position U4565. NB This family has a high threshold value to exclude a large number of closely related sequences that do not appear to have conserved H and ACA boxes, and may be pseudogenes. The record is from Rfam by way of RNAcentral. Lineage: Eukaryota; Metazoa; Chordata; Mammalia; Carnivora; Ursidae.